UCUACGGGAGGCAGCAGUGGGGAAUUUUCCGCAAUGGGCGAAAGCCUGACGGAGCAAUACCGCGUGAGGGAGGAAGGCUCUUGGGUCGUAAACCUCUUUUCUCAGGGAAGAAGAUGACGGUACCUGAGGAAUAAGCAUCGGCUAACUCCGUGCCAGCAGCCGCGGUAAUACGGAGGAUGCAAGCGUUAUCCGGAAUGAUUGGGCGUAAAGCGUCCGCAGGUGGCUGUUCAAGUCUGCUGUCAAAGGUUCUGGCUCAACCAGAGACAGGCAGUGGAAACUGAACGGCUAGAGUGCGGUGGGGGCAGAGGGAAUUCCCAGUGUAGCGGUGAAAUGCGUAGAGAUUGGGAAGAACACCGGUGGCGAAAGCGCUCUGCUAGGCCGCAACUGACACUCAGGGACGAAAGCUAGGGGAGCGAAUAGGAUUAGAUACCCCAGUAGUCCUAGCCGUAAACGAUGGAUACUAGGCGUAGCUCGUAUCGACCCGAGCUGUGCCGUAGCUAACGCGUUAAGUAUCCCGCCUGGGGAGUACGCCGGCAACGGUGAAACUCAAAUGAAUUGACGG
RNAcentral lists this ribosomal RNA (562 nucleotides) under uncultured bacterium. RNAcentral describes it as "bacterial SSU rRNA". It matches the Rfam family "Bacterial small subunit ribosomal RNA", at positions 338 to 916 of the family's 1533-position model. The record is from RNAcentral.